Molecule: long non-coding RNA, 3688 nt
Organism: Apodemus sylvaticus (European woodmouse)
Lineage: Eukaryota; Metazoa; Chordata; Mammalia; Rodentia; Muridae
Exons: 2
Source: RefSeq, a predicted model, not a curated record
GGUAGUAUUCCGCGGCUGGCGGCUCCUAGAGCUACGGCAGAGAGGGCGGGAGACCGGGCUUCCUUGAGCGCUUAUUGGGUGCCGGCGGUACUGGGCCUGCGCCUGGCGUCCUCUUUCUUGAGGGUCGCCCCAUCCCAACGACAGAGGGGAAACUGAGGUGCCCAGCAGAACUAAGACUGAGCCAUUCACUGAUGAGUCUACAGAAGAGUCAGUACACAGUAGGCUCUUUAUAAGAUAUAAUGAAUAAACAGUAAGAUGGCAAGGCUGUCUCUGCUGCUGAAGGACCAGGCUGAGGACGUGAGCUGGGUUUGGUGUAGAGAGGCAGAAGGAAGCAAGGCUCUGGACUAGCUGAUGGCUCUGAACAGCUCCUGUUCUCAGACCCGCCCAUCACUGCCCAGAGCUCCUGGUCUCAGACCCGCCCAUCACUGGCCAGAGCUCCUGUUCUCAGACCCGCCCAUCACUGCCCAGAGCUCCUGUUCUCAGACCCGCCCAUCACUGUGCUCACAGCUCCUGCCCCAUGAGCCCCCUGAACCACGGCUGGCAGUGUGCAGGCUGGAAGGAAACAGAUUCUUCCCCCAAGCCAGUCCAGUGGCUGUGGUUUUGGCCUCAGGUGGCCAAGAGCUCACUAGUGGUCUAGGCUUGGAAGAGGUAGGUUCAAAACUCCAGAGCUGGGACUGGCAGGGACAUAUAUGACUGAGGGGAGGAUGUGGCAAGAGGUGAACAGCAUACCACAGAAAUGAGUUGGUCCCCACUAUUUCAAAUCUAGCCUUGCCUACUGGUGGACUAACCUAACCUCUGUGACUCACUUUUCCUCAUCUGAAACAUGGGUUCACCAGCAAACAGACCUCAUAGAAUUGGGAACCCAUCAAGUAAUGGGCACAGGGGAAGGACUGCUGCCCGCGCACCGCUUACCUUACUAACAGGGGUAGGUUUAGAGAAGACUCAGACCACCACCUUUGGAUUUGCGGCCAGUGACUUCACCUCUCUGAGGCUCAGCUUUCUCAGCUUCAUGGUGUGUGUGUGUGGGGGGGGGUCUCAUGUUUCCCACUGCUGGAGACAAGAAAGGCAGUGACUAGCAGGAGCCCAGAUGGCUCUGUUACCUCACUGGUGGUAACAAUAAUAGACAGGAAAUUUCAGAAGUGGCAGGCUAGUAGAGCGCUCACUUGCCUAGCAUGCGAGAGGAUCAGGUUUCAUCCCCAGGACCACAUAAAGAGAACACAGCAGUACACGCCUGCAGUCCCCGUAUUUGGGAGGUAGAGGCAGAAGAAUCAGGAACUCAAGGGUCUUCCUUAGCUACAUGUUCAGUUUGAAGCCAGCCUGGGCUGUGUGAGGCCCUGCCUAGCGUUUAUCAUGACUUUGUUACUAAGCACUGCAUACUCCCAAGCUCAGCCUCUAUUGGACAGAUGGGGACACUAGGGUAAGAACAGGGCCAUGCCAAAGUCACCUGAGAGAGUGUCACAAUGCAAUAGUUGCUUUGAACCCGAGAUUCUAUUUUGUUUUUGUUGUUUUAUUUCUUUUUGGCUUUUUGAAACAGGGUCUCUCAGUGUAGCCCUGGCUGAUCUGAAACUCACUCUGUAGACCAGGCUGGCCUCGAACUCACAGAGAUCUGCCUGCCUCUGCCUCCUGGGUGUUGGAACUAAAGACAUGAGCCACCACCGCCUGGCUGAGAUUCUGCUUUUCUUAUGAGCUCCCAGGAGGGUUGAUAAUGUGGGAAACACAUUUUGUGCAGUCAGGGGGAAAGGCAGCUACUGAAGGUGGCAGAGGCUGCAGGUGUCUUGCUUGCGGUUGAGCCACAGGGGCAGCUGGGAGCCUGCACUUGUAGCCAGGAGCCUGCUUUACCCCGGCCCUUACUUUCUCUCCCUGACAAGCAGGCAGGGUGUCUCACUCCCCUCUGCCCACCCAUUUCCUCUCUCUGAGCCCCUUCUUUCUCCGCGGUGACAUCUGGCCCAGGGCCUCCCAAUGGGACUGGCUGGAGGUUCUCAGAUUUUCAUUAACAAGAAAGAUAAGUAAGGGCUACUGGGGCCCAGCUGGGCCUGCUGUGGGCCAGCCUGGCCCUGUGCCCACUUCCCCAGAAUGCCAGAGGCACUGGGACAAGAUGUGGCUUGCUGGGGUUGGGCCUAGAGAGGCCUUGGAGGAGAGGCCCUGCAGCAGGGCCUUCCUGCACAGCCAGCAAUUAGGAGGCUGAGCAGUCAGCUGCUUCCCAGGAACUCCCAGGAGAAGCUUAGGCCUAAAAACAAAGUGAAACUUAGUUGCCUACAGGGAGUUUCCUGGCCAGGGAGAGGAGAACCGCCGGUGAAUUCUACGGAAUGAGGCUAGGUGAAACACACAGAAUUUCCCCUUCUUCUCCAGAGAGCACAGGCCUCACUGGCUGCUGAAGAGCCAGCUUCACUGGUUUCUCUGUGGUAGGUUCUGCCCCUUACAGGCAGAGAGAAUGCGUGCUGGCCAGUCCUGGGCAGCUGACGCUCCUGAACUCCAGGUUGUUUUCUAAGCAUUUAUGCCUCAGUUCCUUUUGUCUUAUGAGUCAGAUGUUGCUUUCUCAUUUUUGAUAGUAACACACUGUUCCUUUUUAAGGGGUCUAUUUAAGGGAAAAUCACUGGAUGUUAAAAUGUGUCAGUUACUUUUCUGCUUGCUCAAGUGCUGAGAUGACAGGCUUGUAGGACAGGACCCAGUUUCUGUGGAGGAGACAUGGCAUGAGUGGAAGCAGAAUUCUGUGCAUGUUAGGCAGGCCCCUGCUGACCGGCUGUGUUGCUGACACAGUCAGCCUUUGCCCUGCGUUUGUCCUCCACAGCCCAGGCGCAUAACUGGGUGACGGGAGAAAGGCAGCUUGCUUAGCAGCCUAGUGCACAUCUACUGUCUGUCAGGAGACUCGAGGCCAGGAGGAUUGAGAAUUUUGGACUAUCCUGAGCUAUGUAAUAAGACUUUGUCAAAAGGAAAAGAGGAGGGAAGAACAGAAGGAAGGAGGGAAGGGAAGGAAAGAAGGUUUGGGAAAGAAAGAAAGGGAAGAAGAUUUGCUUAUCCUUGGACAAUUGUCCGGUCACAGUGGAGAUGGAUCCCUGGGUGUCGUGGAUGGCUGUCCUCCAAGCACAACAGACGUUGCCAUCUUUAUCAGAGCAGUUGCUACUAUCUACAAGAGAUCUUCAAGAAGUGGCCUAUGACCUUUUACAGAUGGAAGGAAUGGGAAGAGUCAUCUGAGAUCCCAGCCACUCUGUCCCGCUCCUCUGUUCCAGGAGUAAGCACCUCUGCCCCAGCUAUUCCUGAUCUUCUAGAGGAUAGAGAGGUUCUCGAUCUGUGUGGGUGGUGACUCCUUUGGGGUGGGGUCGAAUGACCCUUUCACAGGGGUCACCUACGACCAUCCUGCCUAUCAGAUAUUUACAUUAUGAAUCACAACAGUAGCAAAAUUUACAGUUAUGAAGUAGCAAGGAAAAUAAUUUUACGGUUGCGCAUCACCACAGUAUGAGGAACUGUACUAAAGGGCUGCACAUUGGGAAGGCUGAGAACCACUGCUCUGGUAUGCAGAGAAGAUGGAAGGUUGUCUGAAAGGAGAUCCCAGCUGGACAGCCACAGGAAAGCCAGCAUCUGUGCUGGCCUGAGACUUCUGCAAUGAGAGAUGGAGAGCGCCAGCGCCCCUGUAAGCCAGCCCUCGGCCAUGCUUCCAUCAGAAAACUGAAUAAACUCACUGGUUUACCAA